Molecule: long non-coding RNA, 1289 nt
Organism: Piliocolobus tephrosceles (Ugandan red Colobus)
Lineage: Eukaryota; Metazoa; Chordata; Mammalia; Primates; Cercopithecidae
Source: Ensembl
UUUGUACAAUAACGUAAAUUUAAAAAACAAUUUGUAUAGUAGCUUAAGUUUGAAAAGUGAUUCACAUAGCGACACAAGUUUAAAAAGUGGAAAAGUAACUACAACAGAAGAACAUGUCUUUACUUCUAAUGCUCAUACAACAAACAAUAACAACCAUGAUCAUGCAUUUUACCAAUCACUAUUUGGCAAUGAAACAGAACCAAAUAUGGAUGAUAUAAACUCUUUCUUUUACUCCGAAAUGAACAACUCCUUUUAUAGAUAUUUUAAAGAUAAAAUAGAUGUAAAUAAUAUAAGAAAACAUUAUAACUUAAAACAUGACAAUACUAUAUUUAAGUUACAUAAAGAAUAUAUAAAAACAUGUUUAAACAAAUUUAAAUUAUUUUUUCGUGAAUACUUUUAUAUUAAUUUUACAAACGAUUUAGAAUUGAAAAAAAAGAAAAAGUAUAUGUAUAAAAAUUUUUGUGUAGCUAUAUGUGAUAUUUUUUUUUACAAUUUAGGAAUUACAAAAGGAGAUGGAGAUGAGAAAUUUGAACAAACAUUAGGUGGUAUAGUAAUAUAUGAUUUAUACAUAAAACAGUUUACAAAAUUAAGAAUAUUAUUAAAAAAAAUGUUUAUGUAUAUAAAUAUUAUAUACAAAAUAAUUAAAUUAGUUAACAUGAAAAAAAUAUUUAAUGAACGAUAUGACUUACAUACAUGUAAAAUGCAUGACGUAUUUUUUUUUAAUUUCUUAUAUUUUUUUUAUCAUAAAUAUUCUAAUAAGUGUCAAAAAGGUAAUGGAUAUAUGACCUCCUUAUGUAAACAAAUGUUUAUAAAUAAAAAAGACUUGUUAGGUAAUUUGAAACAAAAACUUGUUACUCUUGAAAAUAAAGAUUUACAAUUUUUGGAACUGUAUGAAAAAAUGUUUAAAGUAACAAAUAAACAACAACAAAAAGUUUUUCAAAAUGUUUUUAAAAAUACAAAUAAUCCAUUGGAACCGUCGAAUAAUAUCGAUAUUGCAAUUGCUAUGGAACUUGAAUAUGAGAAAAAAAAAAUACAAAAAGAACAGAAACGGGAUGAAGAAUCAGAAUCAACAUCAGAAUCAGCAUCAGAAUCAGAAGAGUUAUUGAGAGAUGUUGCAGAAGAAGCUCUUAGAAAACUUGCUGAAAGGAUAUUAAGAGAAGUUGCAUUGAUGGUUGCAAAUGUGGCUAAAGAGGUGGCAAUGGAACAGGCUAAGCAUUCAAAAGUGGCAUCAAGAGAACAGGUUAAACAGUCAAAGGAGGUGACAUCAAAGGAAGUGGCAUCAAAGGAAG